RNAcentral lists this ribosomal RNA (253 nucleotides) under uncultured bacterium. RNAcentral describes it as "partial 16S ribosomal RNA". It matches the Rfam family "Bacterial small subunit ribosomal RNA", at positions 524 to 776 of the family's 1533-position model. The record is from RNAcentral.
UACGUAGGUGGCAAGCGUUGUCCGGAUUUACUGGGUGUAAAGGGCGUGCAGCCGGAGAGACAAGUCAGAUGUGAAAUCCACGGGCUCAACCCGUGAACUGCAUUUGAAACUGUUUCCCUUGAGUGUCGGAGAGGUAAUUGGAAUUCCUUGUGUAGCGGUGAAAUGCGUAGAUAUAAGGAAGAACACCAGUGGCGAAGGCGGAUUACUGGACGAUAACUGACGGUGAGGCGCGAAAGCGUGGGGAGCAAACAGG